RNAcentral lists this long non-coding RNA (976 nucleotides) under Callithrix jacchus (white-tufted-ear marmoset). Its description in RNAcentral is "lncRNA (ENSCJAG00000063554.2)". The record is from RNAcentral. Lineage: Eukaryota; Metazoa; Chordata; Mammalia; Primates; Cebidae.
UGGUGGUUUUGUACUAUGAGAUUUUAGCGAAGCAUACCGGGAAUUUUAUAGAGCUGCUUUCCCUGUAUAAUUAGGAUUUGGCACAAAGAGCUUCAAGUAAGAUUUGGAAAGUACAAGGGGAGCAGCAGUCAUUACAGAAGAUUAGUACAAGCCUCCAUGCAUGGCCAGAGCUUGGCACAUUCCCUGCUGAUUCACGGGCUCUCUCACUGGUGCGCAUAGACCCACAGCUCCUCUGCCUACUGCCAGAUCUUUUCCUUCAGCGUUUCCAAGUCCUGAGUCACACACACGUGCAACUCUGGGGUGAAAGGCUCCUGCUUCUUCUGCAGAUUCCCGGAAUCAUCUGGGUUUGAAGCAUAUUCUGAUUUGUCCUUUUCACCACCAGGUACAGAGGCAACUCCUUCCAUAGAUUUCUUCACCAGUUUUCCUUAAUGGUCUACUUGGAACGUUUGAAAUUGUCUGGUUCUUUGGCACCCAAAUAUGAAGGUCACUUCAUUAAGGGCCAGAAUUUUCAUAGAGAGCAUUUGAGAAAAAAGAGCUCAAUAAAAUACCAAAAAAGAAAUAGAAGCAAGAACUACAGUAAAAGAAAUGCUAUUUAUAUAUGCAAAUGAAGAUUGAAGACAACUAUUAUCAACUUUCUACUCUUAAGAAUUAUUUAACUUUCUACUGCUAUUUAUGCAUUUGGACAUUGGUUUACCAUGCCACUUUUUUUAUGUAUUAAAAAAAAACUGUUGAAAAUUAAAAUGAUAUUAUACUUGUGUUGAGGCCAAAUAUAUAUUCCCAAAGUGUUCUAAAUUUGUUAUAGUGUUUUUACUCCUGAGUAAUCAAUAACAUUGAGUAAUAAAGACAGAAUUAUUUAUGUAUAAAUAAAAAUUCUCAUGAACAUUUUUAUCUAUUUUUCUUCCUUUUCUGAGUUGAAAAGCAGCCAUUGUCAACAUAACUAAUUGUUGCUACAGUAUCUUUUUAAAUUAAUGUGGUA